AAAUUGAAGAGUUUGAUCAUGGCUCAGAUUGAACGCUGGCGGCAGGCCUAACACAUGCAAGUCGAACGGUAACAGGAAACAGCUUGCUGUUUCGCUGACGAGUGGCGGACGGGUGAGUAAUGUCUGGGAAACUGCCUGAUGGAGGGGGAUAACUACUGGAAACGGUAGCUAAUACCGCAUAAUGUCGCAAGACCAAAGAGGGGGACCUUCGGGCCUCUUGCCAUCGGAUGUGCCCAGAUGG
This 241-nucleotide ribosomal RNA is filed under the name Escherichia coli. RNAcentral describes it as "partial 16S ribosomal RNA". It matches the Rfam family "Bacterial small subunit ribosomal RNA", at positions 1 to 238 of the family's 1533-position model. Lineage: Bacteria; Pseudomonadati; Pseudomonadota; Gammaproteobacteria; Enterobacterales; Enterobacteriaceae. The record is from RNAcentral.